This 416-nucleotide ribosomal RNA is filed under the name uncultured eukaryote. Its description in RNAcentral is "bacterial SSU rRNA". It matches the Rfam family "Eukaryotic small subunit ribosomal RNA", at positions 592 to 1013 of the family's 1831-position model. The record is from RNAcentral.
CAAUAGCGUAUAUUAAAGUUGUUGCAGUUAAAAAGCUCGUAGUUGGAUUUCUGGUGGGAGCACGGGUCGGCCUUCACGGGUUGUACUGUUGUUGCGUCCUGCCGUUUCGGAGGGAAUGGUCAUGUUAUUAGGUUAGCGUGAUCGGAAACUCUGUCGUUUACUGUGAAAAAAUUAGAGUGUUCAAAGCAGGCGUUUGCUUGAAUAUAUUAGCAUGGAAUAAUGGAAUAGGACCCUGGUUCUAUUUUGUUGGUUUGAGAACCAGAGUAAUGAUUAAUAGGGAUAGUUGGGGGCAUUCAUAUUUCAUUGUCAGAGGUGAAAUUCUUGGAUUUAUGAAAGAUGAACUUCUGCGAAAGCAUUUGCCAAGGAUGUUUUUCAUUAAUCAAGAACGAAAGUUAGGGGAUCGAAGAUGAUCAGAU